Molecule: long non-coding RNA, 291 nt
Filed under: Salvia miltiorrhiza (redroot sage)
Lineage: Eukaryota; Viridiplantae; Streptophyta; Magnoliopsida; Lamiales; Lamiaceae
Description: long non-coding RNA (SMIL_LNC014078)
Source: RNAcentral
UGGGCUCGUUUCCGUUCUUAUUUUUAUGUCGGAAAAAUAUUUAUUAAUUAAUUUAUUAUUAAUUUUCGAUUUUUUUUUUUUAAUUCAUCUAGUUUAUACACCAUUCAUAACCUUAGUGUUGAUUGAUGAGUGAAUCACUAAUCAAAUUAACAUUAUUAAGUUAUAAUUAUCAGUUUCUCACUAACAAUUUUGAAUGCUUAGCAAUAAUAUUAGAGUAGUGAUGAUUGAUGAGUGAAUCACUAAUCAAAUUAACAUUCUUAAGUUAUAAUUAUAAGAUUCUUACUAAGAAUC